This 256-nucleotide ribosomal RNA is filed under the name Vibrio parahaemolyticus. RNAcentral's name for it is "partial 23S ribosomal RNA". It matches the Rfam family "Bacterial large subunit ribosomal RNA", at positions 81 to 381 of the family's 2925-position model. The record is from RNAcentral. Lineage: Bacteria; Pseudomonadati; Pseudomonadota; Gammaproteobacteria; Vibrionales; Vibrionaceae.
AUUAGGUAGUAACAACCAUUUGAGUCUGGGAUUUCUGAAUGGGGAAACCCACGUGCAUAAGCACGUAUCCUUACCUGAAUACAUAGGGUAAGGAGGCGAACCGGGGGAACUGAAACAUCUAAGUACCUCGAGGAAAAGAAAUCAACCGAGAUUCCGAAAGUAGCGGCGAGCGAAAUUGGACUAGCCCUUAAGCUUUACACGCGUUAGACGAACGGUCUGGAAAGUCCGACGAUACAGGGUGAUAGUCCCGUAGUUG